Long non-coding RNA from Oryzias melastigma (Indian medaka), 277 nucleotides. RefSeq lists it as uncharacterized. The record is from RefSeq and is a predicted model, not a curated record. Lineage: Eukaryota; Metazoa; Chordata; Actinopteri; Beloniformes; Adrianichthyidae. The transcript has 2 exons.
UUAAUUAAAUAUACGUUUACAGUUUUAUCCGCGUGGCUGACGGCGUGUUUCGGCCAGCAGAUGUCGCUGUAGUCCUCGUCUAAACGGGCUUUUGGCUGUGGAAUAUUUCGGAAACUACCCACACAUUUGUGAGAACGAAGGAGGUUGAGUUGACCAAAGAAGGCAGUGAUGAAGGGGAGAGUCAUUGUGACGAACUCAGGAUGUGGGAAGAAACCACUCCGUAUCAUCCAGCCAGGAAAAAACAAAAAAAUUCAGAAUAAAGACUUCACAAAGUGUA